GCCUAAUACAUGCAAGUCGAACGGAGUAGCAAUACUUAGUGGCGAACGGGUGAGUAACACGUAUCUAAUCUACCAUUUAGUGGGGAAUAACUGUUGGAAACGACAGCUAAUACCGCAUAAUAUUGCUGGAUAAUUUCCAGUAAUGAAAGGAGCUUUCAAGCUCCGCUGAUUGAUGAGGAUGCGGCGCAUUAGCUAGUUGGUAGGGUAAUGGCCUACCAAGGCAAUGAUGCGUAGCCGAUCUGAGAGGAUGAACGGCCACAUUGGGACUGAGACACGGCCCAAACUUCUACGGAAGGCAGCAGUAGGGAAUUUUUCACAAUGGGCGAAAGCCUGAUGGAGCAAUGCCGCGUGACUGAUGAAGGUCUUCGGAUUGUAAAGGUCUGUUGUAAGGGAAGAAAUGGUAAAACAGGAAAUGGUUUUAUCUAUGACGGUACCUUACCAGAAAGCCACGGCUAACUAUGUGCCAGCAGCCGCGGUAAUACAUAGGUGGCAAGCGUUAUCCGGAUUUAUUGGGCGUAAAGGGUGCGUANACGGUUUUGCAAGUCUGANG
This 550-nucleotide ribosomal RNA is filed under the name uncultured Spiroplasma sp. RNAcentral describes it as "bacterial SSU rRNA". It matches the Rfam family "Bacterial small subunit ribosomal RNA", at positions 46 to 594 of the family's 1533-position model. Lineage: Bacteria; Bacillati; Mycoplasmatota; Mollicutes; Entomoplasmatales; Spiroplasmataceae. The record is from RNAcentral.